GGGUAAACCUGAGAAACCCGAAAGGUCGAACGGGGAGAUUCAACCGCGUCUCGGGCGUUCGUCGAGUGGGCAGCGUGCGACGGACGGUCUUCGGGCCGUUCCGCGCCGUCGUUCGCCGACGACCUCGAACGCGUGCACUUCUCCCCUUGUAGGACGUCGCGACCCGUUGGGUGUCGGUCUAAGGCACGCGGUGGAGCCCACGUGGACGACUCGUCGUUCCGCGCGGACCCGUGUUCGCCCGACCGACUGGCCCGACGGUACAAAGGUGGCGCUGGGCCGCGACUAGUUCGUGUCCGGCCCGUCGCAAGCUCGGACGAAGCGCGGCGCGCGGACCUAGUACCGCAUCUGCGCCCGCCCGGCUGUUGGCGGCGGUGUUCUCGGACGGUCCAGAGGUGCGCCGGUCGGCGACGCUAUAGCUUUGGGUACUUUCAGGACCCGUCUUGAAACACGGACCAAGGAGUCUAGCAUGUGCGCGAGUCAUUGGGACUUGCGAAACCUAAAGGCGAAAUGAAAGUGAAGGCGUGCNUCGCGCGCGUCGAGGGAGGAUGGUCCGGGCCUCGGCCCGGUCUCGCACUCCCGGGGCGUUUCGUUCUCAUCGCGAGAUGAGGCGCACCCAGAGCGUACACGCUGGGACCCGAAAGAUG
This 644-nucleotide ribosomal RNA is filed under the name Stenelmis grossa. RNAcentral describes it as "eukaryotic LSU rRNA". The stretch from base 452 to 644 matches the Rfam family "Eukaryotic large subunit ribosomal RNA", at positions 665 to 825 of the family's 3401-position model. Lineage: Eukaryota; Metazoa; Arthropoda; Insecta; Coleoptera; Elmidae. The record is from RNAcentral.